RNAcentral lists this ribosomal RNA (84 nucleotides) under Clostridiaceae bacterium. Lineage: Bacteria; Bacillati; Bacillota; Clostridia; Eubacteriales; Clostridiaceae. The record is from RNAcentral.
CCCAUACCGAACACAGAAGUUAAGCUCUCCAGUGCCGAAGAUACUUGGCUGGAGACGGCCCGGGAAAAUAGGUCGUUGCCAGAA